GCGAUUUGGGAUUUGUUUUGGUGUUGCAAACAUGAGAGUACUGCACAACAUAACGUAAAUGUAACGAGUUAGCCUCAAAGUGUAGUCCCCUAUAAACAGAUACGUGUUCAUUGGACUCAUGUAGUAGGGUGUGCUUUAGCAGUGAAUGGAGGAUGAGCAGCUCAGGACAGAGCAGCGGGACAUCAGCUGACCUCUUUGAAGACUUAUGGAGGCAGCUCAGAGAGUGCCAACAGAAUGCAUUACAAGAACUUGAGGCAAAAGUGACCAAGUUGAAAAAGGAGCACUAUUU
Molecule: long non-coding RNA, 289 nt
Organism: Trematomus bernacchii (emerald rockcod)
Lineage: Eukaryota; Metazoa; Chordata; Actinopteri; Perciformes; Nototheniidae
Exons: 3
Source: RefSeq, a predicted model, not a curated record